AGCCUACGGGGGGCAGCAGUGGGGAAUAUUGCACAAUGGGGGGAACCCUGAUGCAGCAAUGCCGCGUGGGUGAAGAAGCACUCCGGUGCGUAAAGCUCUAUCAGCAGGGAAGAAAAUGACGGUACCUGACUAAGAAGCCCCAGCUAACUACGUGCCAGCAGCCGCGGUAAUACGUAGGGGGCAAGCGUUAUCCGGAUUUACUGGGUGUAAAGGGAGCGUAGACGGCAGAGCAAGUCUGAAGUGAAAGCCCGCGGCCCAACUGCGGGACUGCUUUGGAAACUGCCCGGCUAGAGUGCUGGAGGGGG
This 305-nucleotide ribosomal RNA is filed under the name uncultured bacterium. RNAcentral's name for it is "bacterial SSU rRNA". It matches the Rfam family "Bacterial small subunit ribosomal RNA", at positions 335 to 658 of the family's 1533-position model. The record is from RNAcentral.